GACGAACGCUGGCGGCGUGCUUAACACAUGCAAGUCGAACGGAAAGGCUCCAGCUUGCUGGAGUACUCGAGUGGCGAACGGGUGAGUAACACGUGGGUAAUCUGCCCUGCACUCUGGGAUAAGCCUGGGAAACUGGGUCUAAUACUGGAUAUGACCUUUCUCCUUAUGGGGUUUGGUGGAAAGUUUUUCGGUGUAGGAUGAGCCCGCGGCCUAUCAGCUUGUUGGUGGGGUGAUGGCCUACCAAGGCGACGACGGGUAGCCGGCCUGAGAGGGUGAUCGGCCACAUUGGGACUGAGAUACGGCCCAGACUCCUACGGGAGGCAGCAGUGGGGAAUAUUGCACAAAGGGCGGAAGCCUGAUGCAGCGACGCCGCGUGAGGGAUGACGGCCUUCGGGUUGUAAACCUCUUUCAGCAGGGACGAAGCGUAAGUGACGGUACCUGCAGAAGAAGCACCGGCUAACUAUGUG
Molecule: ribosomal RNA, 467 nt
Filed under: uncultured bacterium
Lineage: Bacteria
Description: partial 16S ribosomal RNA
Rfam family: Bacterial small subunit ribosomal RNA
Source: RNAcentral